Molecule: long non-coding RNA, 1003 nt
Filed under: Equus caballus (horse)
Lineage: Eukaryota; Metazoa; Chordata; Mammalia; Perissodactyla; Equidae
Description: lncRNA (ENSECAG00000059806.1)
Source: RNAcentral
CUCUGUCUCUGAGCCCAGCUCAGAACAAGGAGAGCCUUGGACCCAGCUUCAGAGGACCGUGGGGAAGGUCAUAUACUCUAUACCCACUGCCUACUAGUCCCAUGCCACGUCCUUUGUGCAUUUGUCCAGUCCAUAUGACUGAGUUUCUAUCUCAGUUUCCCUGCAAGCCAUUCUUUUUCAUUUUUGCCGUGGAGCUGAUGUGUGUGGGUCUUUCUAAUCUCCUGGGCUUGUGCCAGAGUUUUACUCCAGAGGCUGGACUUGUUCCAAGGAGACUCAGUGGUGGCUGGGGUUCUGCUUGCCACAUAUUAGGGAGCCGGAACCUCCCAGUUGAUGUUGUAAUUGCCUGCUCCAAGGGCUCUUGCGACUGCGCACUCAGUGAAGCAUCGUCCCUGAGCAUGCUUGCCCACAUGCUGAACUGAUCUUCCCUCCUGGAGUAGCACGCCCCUUUGGACUGUGGACCAUUCCCUUCGAUAUUUCCUCUAACCAGGAAGGUUAUUUCCACCCCUACCCGGCUAAGUGGCCUCGCGUCUUCACUUGUCAGCCUGCAGUCUCCUUCAAGAAAGCAAUCAGAGAAGUCGCCUUCCAACUCGAGUCAGAUCAGUUCUCUCUUCUGCUCAAAGUGCUCGGAUGACUUACAGACUGUGAGAACCAGGCGGGCGGACAUUCUUGCUUGAUUUGUUCACUAGACACUUGCACAACUGAGGAUAAACUCUCUCCCCAACCCUGUAAGGAUGGCUGUUAUUAUCUUAUUUUAAAGCCUCAGAAACUCCAGAUCAGACUUCUAGGCACAAAGUCAACAACUGGAGAGUGGCAGAGCUGGAAUUCAAGACCGCAGUGUUUCCUCAGGGAGGAAGAGAGGAAAGAGGAGGAGGUGGGGGAAGCCCCUCCCAGACUCGACCCUCCCAGUUCCACACUCCCCACCAACAACCCCGACCAGCAUGGCCUCUGCCUUCUACCACGACAUCAGAAAAGUGUGGAAGUGACCGGGUGGAGACAUCCUCUG